Scylla paramamosain (green mud crab) is the source of this 473-nucleotide long non-coding RNA. RefSeq lists it as uncharacterized. NCBI's taxonomy places the organism in Eukaryota, Metazoa, Arthropoda, Malacostraca, Decapoda, Portunidae. The transcript is spliced from 2 exons. The record is from RefSeq and is a predicted model, not a curated record.
ACGGCAAAAACUCGUCAAUACCACUCUAUAUGGAGAAACUGUAUCAUUAAAAUGAUAUGUUAACCAUCUAUUAUUUAUUAUACAAUAUAUUUUUGUUAUCUGUGUUAAAGAAAAUGUAAGUUGUGUUCUGUUGGAAUGGGAGAAGUUUGGUACGCUUCUUUGUGGUGUUUUGUUUCACCCACUACCUGUGAACAUGGUCGGCCUGGCAGGUUGUCUAAGCCGGCCCACCAAUGUACUGUGGGUUGUUGUGUUGGGUGGUCCUUUGUGCUACAGACGGAGAAUGUAGGGACGCCCUGGACUUCAUGUCGGUUGGUGUGUUGGUUGGUCCUCCGUGCUACAGACAGAGUUGUGAGGACGCCCUGGACUGGAUGAUAGUUGGGGUGGUGACAUGUCAGGUGUGCUACGGGGAUUCGAAGAGCGUCAGUGUGGGCCACUGAAGUCGAAACACUUCAAGCAAUAAACACCUGUUACGA